CCUACGGGAGGCUGCAGUGGGGGAUAUUGCACAAUGGGGGGAACCCUGAUGCAGCGACGCCGCGUGGGUGAAGGAGCGUUUCGGCGCGUAAAGCCCUAUCGGCAGGGAAGAAGAUGACGGUACCUGACCAAGAAGCCCCGGCUAACUACGUGCCAGCAGCCGCGGUAAUACGUAGGGGGCAAGCGUUAUCCGGAUUUACUGGGUGUAAAGGGGGCGCAGACGGCAAUGCAAGCCAGGAGUGAAAGCCCGGGGCCCAACCCCGGGACUGCUCUUGGAACUGUCAUGCUAGAGUGUCGGAGAGGCAGGUGGAAUUCCUAGUGUAGCGGUGAAAUGCGUAGAUAUUAGGAGGAACACCAGUGGCGAAGGCGGCCUGCUGGACGAUGACUGACGUUGAGGCUCGAAAGCGUGGGGAGCAAACAGGAUUAGAUACCCUAGUAGUC
Molecule: ribosomal RNA, 440 nt
Filed under: uncultured bacterium
Lineage: Bacteria
Description: partial 16S ribosomal RNA
Rfam family: Bacterial small subunit ribosomal RNA
Source: RNAcentral